UCCCUUAUUACCUGUGCUACCCUCUUUUCAGGUAUGUUAUUCAUCGAAGGUCGUUGAGAAGAGGAGUAAGAAUGUACAAUUAAUAAGCAAGAUUAUCUCAUGUUACCGGAAAUUGUUUUGCGAUAAUUUUUAAUUUUGCAAUAAUUUUGCGUCACUUUGUAAACGUACGAAACGUUCCAGUUCGAUACCUUGACGGUUCGAUGACGGUCAUGGUGCAAUGGGUUGCACCUGUGUGGUAAACGAGCGAUAUAUAACUCUUUCAUUCCAUGGAUAGAAAUAGAAGCAAAAUAUCAUUGUUGCUUAAAGAAAGAGUAUUAAUAUUGAAGGAGCCUACGCGUUAGAAGAAUAUUAGGAAAAUGAACUAUUUCAUGUUCAUCAAGCAGCUAUUUAUAAAAAUUACAAUCGGAUUCGGUGAUAUCCAGUUGGCGAGGGUAGUCCGCGCCCUAUAUAUAUCUCCUGUCGUUUUUUUGCUAACCGAUCGAUACUUCUACUGGUCAACCGUCGAAUUUUCUCUCAUCAACGAAAUUGUGCAAGUUGUAUGAACGCUAGUACAGCAUGGGGAACUUGUGCGCUUAGGUGUAUGAUAUAUAACGUAUUACGGUUGCGAUGAGCGUAGAUAAGCUGAGAUAUGCGAUUAUAUAAAUACAAUACAAAUAUACUAGCUUUCUCUAUA
Long non-coding RNA from Bombus terrestris (buff-tailed bumblebee), 673 nucleotides. RefSeq lists it as uncharacterized. The transcript has 2 exons. Lineage: Eukaryota; Metazoa; Arthropoda; Insecta; Hymenoptera; Apidae. The record is from RefSeq and is a predicted model, not a curated record.